Molecule: small nuclear RNA, 104 nt
Organism: Moschus moschiferus (Siberian musk deer)
Lineage: Eukaryota; Metazoa; Chordata; Mammalia; Artiodactyla; Moschidae
Source: Ensembl
ACAAUAAAAGUAUAGUAUUUGCUUCAGCAACACAUAUAAUAGAGAAUAUUAGCAUGGUCCCUGCGCAAAGAUGACACCAAAUUCAUUAAGUGUUCCCUAUUUUU